RNAcentral lists this ribosomal RNA (253 nucleotides) under uncultured prokaryote. Its description in RNAcentral is "partial 16S ribosomal RNA". It matches the Rfam family "Bacterial small subunit ribosomal RNA", at positions 525 to 777 of the family's 1533-position model. The record is from RNAcentral.
ACGAAGGGUGCAAGCGUUACUCGGAAUUACUGGGCGUAAAGCGUGCGUAGGUGGUUUGUUAAGUCCGAUGUGAAAGCCCUGGGCUCAACCUGGGAAUGGCAUUGGAUACUGGCAGGCUAGAGUGCGGUAGAGGGGUGUGGAAUUCCCGGUGUAGCAGUGAAAUGCGUAGAUAUCGGGAGGAACAUCUGUGGCGAAGGCGACACCCUGGACCAGCACUGACACUGAGGCACGAAAGCGUGGGGAGCAAACAGGA